Long non-coding RNA from Podarcis raffonei (Aeolian wall lizard), 2155 nucleotides. RefSeq lists it as uncharacterized. The transcript is spliced from 2 exons. The record is from RefSeq and is a predicted model, not a curated record. Lineage: Eukaryota; Metazoa; Chordata; Lepidosauria; Squamata; Lacertidae.
CUAUCUCCUUAGUUAUUCUGGGCUGUGUUUCCUCUGCUGAAUCAUUUGCUCCAAAUUCUUCAGGUCGGGCAUUGUUUUCUUUAUCGGAGAAGACUGAGGCAAAGAAGGCAUUGAGGAGUUCAGCCCUUUCUGUGUCCCCUGUUUGCAUUUCACCAUCUUCUCCUCUGAGUGACCCCACUGUUUCUUUGUUCUUCCUUUUGCUACGGACAUACCCAUAAAAGCCUUUUUUGUUGCUUUUAACCUCUCUAGCAAGCCUGAGUUCAUUCUGUGCUUUAGCUUUUCUGACUUUGUGUCUACAGGUGCUGGCUAUUUGUUUGAAUUCCUGUUUGGUGGUUUCCCCCCCUUUUCCAUUUUUUGUACACAUCCUUUUUUAAUCUUAACUCAGUUAAAAGUUCUUUAGAUAGCCACCCUGGCUUCUUUAGGCACCUUCCAUGUUUCCGUCUCAUUGGUAUUGCCUGAAGUUGUGCUUUUACUAUCUCCCUCUUAACAAACUCCCAGCCAUCAUGAACUCCCUUUCCUUUUAGUAUUACUGUCCAUGGGAUCUCACCCAGCACUUCCCUAAGUUUUAUGAAGUCGGCUUUCUUAAAGUCAAGAAAUUGAGUCCUAGUAUGUUUGGCUGCUCCUUUCCGCUGUAUAGUAAACUUCAGAAGAGCAUGAUCACUCGCGCCUAAUGAUCCUCCCACUUCUACCCCACUAACCAGGUCAUCAACAUUGGUUAGGACCAGAUCUAAAAUGGCUGUUCCUCUUGUUGCUUCUCCCACUUUCUGGACAAGGAAGUUGUCUGCAAGGCCAGUGAGGAAUCUGUUUGACCUUAUGCUCUUGGCUGAGUUUGACAUCCAACAAAUAUCCGGGUAAUUGAAGUCCCCCAUUACUACUAUCUCCCUUCCUUUUGCAUGCUUGGCCAUCUGUUCCAGGAAGGCAUAAUCUAUGUCCUCCGUUUGGCUUGGGGAUCUAUAGUAAACUCCCACAAUAAGGUCUCUGUUAUUCUUCUCUCCCUUAAUUUUGACCCAAAUGCUCUCACUUUGGCUUUGAGGUUCUAAAUCUUGGAUCUCUUCACAGGUAUACACAUCCCUGACACAUAACGCCACUCCUCCUCCUUUCUUGUCUGGUCUGUUUCUCUGAAAUAGAUUGCAUCCCUCCAUUAUUACAUUCCAAUUGUGGGACUUAUCCCACCAGGUUUCAGUGAUGCCUAUUAUGUCAUAUUUAGUUUGCUGUACCAAGAGCUCAAGCUCAUCUUGUUUAUUUCCCAUGCUUUGUGCAUUAGUGUACAGACAUUGAAGUCCAUUAAUCAUUCCCCCGUGUCUCUUAUUUAAGGAUUUUUUCCUCCCACCACUAGGUCUGCGUGCUGUUUGCUCCAUUUGGUCUAUGACAUUUGGAUGAUCAUCUUCAUCAAUUGAUAGACUCCUACCUUCAGGAGCACUGUCUCCCUCCCCCACAUUAGUCAGUUUAAAGCCCUCCUGAUGAGGAAGGGGUAUUUGUCAGUGGGUUUUAUGAUUCCUUGCAGUCGUUCAGUUACAUCUUGGAUCUUAGCCCCGGGGAGACAGCACACCUCCCGAGACAUCUUGUCAGGCCCACAGAUCACUGCUUCUGUUCCCCUCAGUAGGGAAUCCCCUAUCACCACUACACGUCUCCUCUUAGGUUUGGUCGGGGUUCUUCCGUGAGCUGUCCGUUCCAAGGUCGCCUGCACAUUCCCUGAGGACUGACUUUGCUGUUCGUCUUCAUAUACCUGAUCGACUGUAACGAGGGAGAGAUCCUCAAAUGGAGUCUGCUCUUCGUCUUCCAUGCUAGGGGAGAGGACUUCAAAGUGAUUGUGUAUUUCUAAACAAUCAGAGCGAACCCUGGGCCUCCUACUUCUUUGAGUCACGUUUCUCCAUAUAUCUGGCACCUGUGUUGGUGAACUAGCCUCCUUCUCAGGGGUGUCCCCUGUCUCCUCCUUGGUGCAGACGGUGUUCUCUGUUGCUUCCAAGAAGAGCUCCAGCUCUCUAAUUCUUUGGAGCAUAGCUACACGUUCCUCCAGUUGCUGGACUUUGUCUUUUAAGAGGGCAAUCAACAUACAAUUGCUGCAGGUAAAGCUGCCUGCAACCUUUGGCAAAAUGGCAAACAUUGCGCAGGAACCGCAGGCGACUGCAGCUGUUCCCUCAUCCUCCAUCUUGAG